This is a long non-coding RNA of Centruroides sculpturatus (bark scorpion), 250 nucleotides long. RefSeq lists it as uncharacterized. Lineage: Eukaryota; Metazoa; Arthropoda; Arachnida; Scorpiones; Buthidae. The record is from RefSeq and is a predicted model, not a curated record. The transcript has 2 exons.
AAUAUAUAUGUAAUUUUUUUGUACUGUAAGGUGUAGUAAUCAUAGAUGAUCAACCAGAAGUGACUGUAGAUGACUCUUCAUUUUUAUGUGAUGCAGAUGAUGGAUUUCAAGAAGUUACAUCUAAAAAAAGACAUAAGGCAAUGGUUGAAAACGAUGUCAAGAAAAUUAAAAAAGAGCCACGAAGUAGAAAUAAAAGUGGUUCGAGGCUUCGACAAAACAGACUUCCACCUAGAUUGGCUAAACAAAGGGA